GGUGCCAUGACGAAUGAAUAAAAAGAAAAUAAAAAAAUGGAAGGAGGCGAGAGGCGGAUGGUGGUGAUGAUGAUGGGGUCUUAUCCUAAAGUCAAUGAAAAGACGAGGUUUACAGAAAUCGAUGGAUAGACCAAAUUUGGGGCUUUGGUUGCUAUUACAUUAAGAGUAGCGAAACCUCCAUGGGUUUCCAGGUCGAUGUUUGGGGUGCUGCGCGACAGCGCAAGAUUUGGGGCUCUUGAGCUCGAUGGGGCAUGGAGGGGCUGCGGCGUGCGGCGGCGACGGCGUGAUGAAGAGGUUGCUAUGUGUGGUGAAGAGUUGUUUGGGUUGUUUUUAUGAACUAAUUUGUACAACAUAAU
Molecule: long non-coding RNA, 356 nt
Filed under: Citrus sinensis (sweet orange)
Lineage: Eukaryota; Viridiplantae; Streptophyta; Magnoliopsida; Sapindales; Rutaceae
Description: long non-coding RNA (CSIN_LNC003495)
Source: RNAcentral